GGCAUCACCAACAAACCACACCUCGAGUCAACGCUCUCCUUUGCAACAUCUUCGUUCUGCUCGCGUCAGCGGUCUCCUUUGCCACAUCUUCAUUGUGCUUGCGUCAGUGCUUGCACCUCAUUUUCAGUUUCCCGUUGCUUUUCUCAUUCUCGCGAAGCAUCGCCAUCAAACCAUACCUCGAGUUCUCUCUCCUGCAACAGCCACAGUUCUUCACAUAUCCACCUUUUCUCCUCACAUUUCUACCUUAUUUCAGCUAUUUCGGCCUUAGAAACACCAUCUUCACCGAUGAGUUCUUCGAGCUAUGGCCUCCGCUAGGGUUUCCCUCAUCUUUCAUCUUUUUCUUUGAUUUUAACCAAUUAAAUCCUCUUUUGCUCCGAUUAAACACUUUCCACCGUUUAAUCGGUUAACCUAGUGUUUUAAGGUUCUUUCACCGUUCGAUUUAGGGUUUCCUUGCUUCAUUCACAGUUUUGGUUCAUUUGCUCUUGGAUUCGUAUCAUUCCGCUGCGUUUCACUCUUUGAGGGAGCUUCGAAGGAGUCCAUAGCGUGUUCGUUUGGGGUUCUUCUCGGAGAUUAUUCCAUCACCUCCCUUCGCAAGCGUGAGCACCGAUGUAGGUUGAGGCCAAAAAAGCUCACUGGAAAGAAUCACAUUUGGACAUCCAUUGGUGGUUACGAGAUAAAAGGGUUGGCUUUCUCAACAAUAGACCCGAACUGCAUCUAUAUUCAAGGGGUUGAUUAUGAGGCACCUAGUUGUUUUCUUUGCAUCUUGUGUAGAAGCUGAUUCCAAGGAUUAAAUAGGUUGAGCUUUCCUUCUCAUCCAUUGGAGGCUAUAAUAUACUUGUGAAAAAAUGUUUGUGGUAUACUUUCUUAUUCUUUUGUAUGGAAUUUACUAUGUCCAAUAGCCCAAUAGAUCAUGAUCAUUUAGUCCAGAAACUAAU
This is a long non-coding RNA of Vigna angularis (adzuki bean), 935 nucleotides long. RefSeq lists it as uncharacterized. Lineage: Eukaryota; Viridiplantae; Streptophyta; Magnoliopsida; Fabales; Fabaceae. The transcript has 4 exons. The record is from RefSeq and is a predicted model, not a curated record.